GCUUACGGCCACACCGCCUGGUUCACGCCCGAUCUCGUUUGAUCUCGGAAGCUAAGAUAGGUGGGGCCUGGUUAGUACUUGGAUGGGAGACCGCCUAGGAAUACCAGGUGCUGUAAGGC
Molecule: ribosomal RNA, 119 nt
Organism: Scophthalmus maximus (turbot)
Lineage: Eukaryota; Metazoa; Chordata; Actinopteri; Pleuronectiformes; Scophthalmidae
Source: Ensembl